CGAACGGAUUAGUUGGAGCGCAUCUUCUCGAGCUGGUUGAGGGCCGGCUGGAGGAUGUUGAAGAGCACCCACCCGAGGGCGGGGGCCACCACGAAGAGCAGCAGCAGGCCCCGGUUGUCGUCCGCCGGCGCCGCCGCGGCCGCCAUGGCCGCGAUCUCCCCCGCGGCGGCCGAGGCCCGCUCCGGCGCGGCAGCGGCCAUGGCGGCCCCGAGCCCGAGCCCGGCCACGAGCGCCUUCUCCGACCGCAUCUUGUUGAGCUGGUUCAGCGCCGGCUGCAGGAUGUUGUAGAGCACCCAGGCGAGCGCCGGGGAGACGACGAUCAGGAGGAGCAGGCCCCGGUUGUCGUCCGCCGGCGCAGCCGCCGCCAUGUCCGCCACCCGCUGCGCCGCCAUCGCCGCGUCGGAGGUCGCCAGCGAG
Molecule: long non-coding RNA, 417 nt
Filed under: Brachypodium distachyon (stiff brome)
Lineage: Eukaryota; Viridiplantae; Streptophyta; Magnoliopsida; Poales; Poaceae
Description: long non-coding RNA (BDIS_LNC003048)
Source: RNAcentral